UCCGAGUUGUCCCCGGCAGUCCUCUUAGAGUCCCCGGCAUUACCCGCUGGCAACUAAGAGCAGGGGUUGCGCUCGUUGCGGCACUUAAGCCAACACCUCACGGCACGAGCUGACGACAGCCAUGCAGCACCUGUGCUAGCCCCUUACGGACACGGGCUUUCACCCGCUUUAACUAGCAUGUCAAACCCAGGUAAGGUGGGGAUGACGUUUAGGAGCUCGAC
This 221-nucleotide unclassified non-coding RNA is filed under the name uncultured Actinomycetes bacterium. RNAcentral's name for it is "uncultured actinobacterium contains 16S-23S intergenic spacer region". Lineage: Bacteria; Bacillati; Actinomycetota; Actinomycetes. The record is from RNAcentral.